GUGAUUGGGCAAUCAAGAACAAAUGCUCAAAGUUUUCAACAUGCUGAUUACAAAACACACAGUUAGCAGGCACUUGUAUUCCAAACUUCUGUAAUCUGUCAAUAGUAGGCAAUCUUUGUUAAGCAGCUAGCCAUACGGUGAACUUGUGUCUAGGUAGAACAUUAGUAGUCAGCAUCAGAUUCUUCCACUCUACCUUAUUAUAACUGGGAAGCAUUGCAAGGUAGAGUUUUUGGAUUUGGAAUUUGUCCAGUCUGCACAUUGCUUUCAACAUGUUAAAGAGAUCCCCUUGUAGCUGCUGGUUCUCCGUAACAGCAUUCCUGCAAUCCAGAACCUUUCUAACAACCCAAGUCCUGCAUAUUGUUUUCAACCUGUUAAAGAGAUCCCCUUGCAGCUGCUGAUUCUCCAUAACAACAGUCCUACAGUCCAGAAUCUUUCUAACAACCUAAGAAGUUGUCUUAGGCAGAGGCAUAGAUACAAUGUCACACUGUUUGAUGUAGUAACAUUGCAGCCAUUUGAUCCAAAGGCAAUCUUUUUUCCUGGCCAAGUCCCAAAGGAGUUUUGUAACAGCUGCCUUAUUCCACACAGUCAUAUCAAUAAUGUUGUUUCCCCCAGCAGAAAGUGGUUUGCAGACCUUUUCCCAUGCAACCAAAGCCCUUUUAGACACAGUAGCAUUACCAGUCUACAGGAAAGAUCUGCAGAUUGCUUCAAUGGUUUUCAAUACUUUCUUUGGCAGUAUGAACACUUGUGCCCAG
Molecule: long non-coding RNA, 752 nt
Filed under: Nicotiana benthamiana
Lineage: Eukaryota; Viridiplantae; Streptophyta; Magnoliopsida; Solanales; Solanaceae
Description: long non-coding RNA (NBEN_LNC039570)
Source: RNAcentral